UUGCAGCCACUUAAGCUGACUGUGCUCUUUUCCCCACGGGCCCCAGUGCGCAAUGGUUGCAAACAGCAGCAUUCUUAGUAGUGUGUGCAGCCUGUUGCCUCUAUGGGUUGCCCUAAGGGACCCUGGAGACAGCC
Delphinapterus leucas (beluga whale) is the source of this 134-nucleotide small nucleolar RNA. Its record names the gene SNORA70. It matches the Rfam family "Small nucleolar RNA SNORA70". Rfam says of the family: snoRNA U70 seems to be exclusive to mammals and is a member of the H/ACA class of snoRNA which contain H (ANANNA) and ACA box motifs. H/ACA box snoRNAs are involved in the conversion of uridines to pseudouridines (5-ribosyluracil) a constituent of structural RNAs (transfer, ribosomal, small nuclear, and small nucleolar). Lineage: Eukaryota; Metazoa; Chordata; Mammalia; Artiodactyla; Monodontidae. The record is from Ensembl.